GAAUAUUGCACAAUGGGGGAAACCCUGAUGCAGCAACGCCGCGUGAAGGAUGAAGGUUUUCGGAUUGUAAACUUCUUUAGUCAGGGACGAAAAAAAUGACGGUACCUGAAGAAUAAGCCACGGCUAACUACGUGCCAGCCGCCGCGGUAAUACGUAGGUGGCAAGCGUUGUCCGGAAUUACUGGGUGUAAAGGGCGUGUAGGCGGGAAUGUAAGUCAGAUGUGAAAUCCCAGGGCUUAACCCUGGAGCUGCAUCUGAAACUAUGUUUCUUGAGUGCCGGAGAGGAAAGCGGAAUUCCUAGUGUAGCGGUGAAAUGCGUAGAUAUUAGGAGGAACACCAGUGGCGAAGGCGGCUUUCUGGACGGUAACUGACGCUGAGGCGCGAAAGCGUGGGGAGCAAACAG
RNAcentral lists this ribosomal RNA (402 nucleotides) under uncultured bacterium. RNAcentral's name for it is "bacterial SSU rRNA". It matches the Rfam family "Bacterial small subunit ribosomal RNA", at positions 359 to 775 of the family's 1533-position model. The record is from RNAcentral.